RNAcentral lists this ribosomal RNA (449 nucleotides) under uncultured organism. RNAcentral describes it as "partial 16S ribosomal RNA". It matches the Rfam family "Bacterial small subunit ribosomal RNA", at positions 333 to 798 of the family's 1533-position model. The record is from RNAcentral.
ACACUCCUCCGGGAGGCAGCAGUGGGGAAUAUUGGACAAUGGGCGCAAGCCUGAUCCAGCCAUGCCGCGUGAGUGAUGAAGGCCCUAGGGUUGUAAAGCUCUUUCACCGGUGAAGAUAAUGACGGUAACCGGAGAAGAAGCCCCGGCUAACUUCGUGCCAGCAGCCGCGGUAAUACGAAGGGGGCUAGCGUUGUUCGGAUUUACUGGGCGUAAAGCGCACGUAGGCGGACUAUUAAGUCAGGGGUGAAAUCCCGGGGCUCAACCCCGGAACUGCCUUUGAUACUGGUAGUCUUGAGUUCGAGAGAGGUGAGUGGAAUUCCGAGUGUAGAGGUGAAAUUCGUAGAUAUUCGGAGGAACACCAGUGGCGAAGGCGGCUCACUGGCUCGAUACUGACGCUGAGGUGCGAAAGCGUGGGGAGCAAACAGGAUUAGAUACCCCGGUAGUCCCAU